AACCGCUGGUGUUCGGGUUGUCAUGCCAAUGGCAUUGCCCGGUAGCUACGUUCGGAACUGAUAAGCGCUGAAAGCAUCUAAGCGCGAAGCAGGCCUCGAGAUGAGUUCUCACUAGACUUUUAAAGUCUCUGAAGGGCCGUUGAAGACUACAACGUUGAUAGGCAAGAUGUGGAAGUGGUGUGAGCCAUUAAGCUAACUUGUACUAAUUACCCGUGAGGCUUAACCAUACAACGCCAAACGCGUUU
This 245-nucleotide ribosomal RNA is filed under the name Pseudoalteromonas sp. FUC4. RNAcentral describes it as "partial 23S ribosomal RNA". It matches the Rfam family "Bacterial large subunit ribosomal RNA", at positions 2704 to 2925 of the family's 2925-position model. The record is from RNAcentral. Lineage: Bacteria; Pseudomonadati; Pseudomonadota; Gammaproteobacteria; Alteromonadales; Pseudoalteromonadaceae.